Molecule: ribosomal RNA, 247 nt
Filed under: uncultured bacterium
Lineage: Bacteria
Description: partial 16S ribosomal RNA
Rfam family: Bacterial small subunit ribosomal RNA
Source: RNAcentral
AGAUGGCGACCGGCGCACGGGUGAGUAACACGUAUCCAACCUGCCGAUAACUCGGGGAUAGCCUUUCGAAAGAAAGAUUAAUACCCGAUGGUAUAAUCAGACCGCAUGGUUUGAUUAUUAAAGAAUUUCGGUUAUCGAUGGGGAUGCGUUCCAUUAGGCAGUUGGCGGGGUUACGGCCCACCAAGGCAACGAUGGAUAGGGGUUCUGAGAGGAAGGUCCCCCACACUGGUACUGAGACACGGACCAG